GCAGUAGCCGCGGUAAUACGUAGGUCCCGAGCGUUGUCCGGAUUUAUUGGGCGUAAAGGGAGCGCAGGCGGUUUAGUAAGUCUGAAGUUAAAGGCAUUGGCUCAACCAAUGUAUGCUUUGGAAACUGUUAGACUUGAGUGCAGAAGGGGAGAGUGGAAUUCCAUGUGUAGCGGUGAAAUGCGUAGAUAUAUGGAGGAACACCGGUGGCGAAAGCGGCUCUCUGGUCUGUCACUGACGCUGAGGCUCGAAAGCGUGGGUAGCGAACAGGAUUAGAUACCCGCGUAGUCCCUGUCUCUUAUACA
RNAcentral lists this ribosomal RNA (302 nucleotides) under uncultured bacterium. RNAcentral's name for it is "partial 16S ribosomal RNA". It matches the Rfam family "Bacterial small subunit ribosomal RNA", at positions 508 to 808 of the family's 1533-position model. The record is from RNAcentral.